GAUGAACGCUGGCGGCGUGCUUAACACAUGCAAGUCGGACGGGAAGGGGUGUUUCUUGUGGCGGGCGGGUGAGUAACGCGGAAGAACCUGCCCUGGGGAGGGGAACAACAGCUGGAAACGGCCGCUAAGACACCGUAGGCUGAGGCGCAAAAGGUGGACUCCGCCAGAGGAGGGGCUGGCUUCUGAUUGGGUAGUUGGGGAGGCAAGAGGCUACGAAGGCGAUGAGCAGUGGCGCGUCCGAGAGGGUGAUCAGCCAGACUGGGGCUGUGACGCGGGCCAGCCUCCUGCGGGAGGCAGCAGUGGAUAAUGCUCCGCAGUCGGCGACCGCCUGACGGAGCACCGCCGCGUGGAUGUCGGCGUCCUACUGGUCGUCCACUUCUUUUCCCGGAGAAGAGUCAAUGACGGUAACUGGUGAAUAAGCAUCGGCUAACUCUGUG
This 437-nucleotide ribosomal RNA is filed under the name uncultured bacterium. RNAcentral describes it as "partial 16S ribosomal RNA". It matches the Rfam family "Bacterial small subunit ribosomal RNA", at positions 28 to 507 of the family's 1533-position model. The record is from RNAcentral.